This 492-nucleotide ribosomal RNA is filed under the name uncultured bacterium. Its description in RNAcentral is "partial 16S ribosomal RNA". It matches the Rfam family "Bacterial small subunit ribosomal RNA", at positions 29 to 507 of the family's 1533-position model. The record is from RNAcentral.
AGUGAACGCUGGCGGUAGGCCUAACACAUGCAAGUCGAACGGCAGCACAGUAAGAGCUUGCUCUUACGGGUGGCGAGUGGCGGACGGGUGAGGAAUACAUCGGAAUCUACUUUUUCGUGGGGGAUAACGUAGGGAAACUUACGCUAAUACCGCAUACGACCUACGGGUGAAAGCAGGGGAUCUUCGGACCUUGCGCGAUUGAAUGAGCCGAUGUCGGAUUAGCUAGUUGGCGGGGUAAAGGCCCACCAAGGUGACGAUCCGUAGCUGGUCUGAGAGGAUGAUCAGCCACACUGGAACUGAGACACGGUCCAGACUCCUAUGGGAGGCAGCAGUGGGGAAUAUUGGACAAUGGGCGCAAGCCUGAUCCAGCCAUACCGCGUGGGUGAAGAAGGCCUUCGGGUUGUAAAGCCCUUUUGUUGGGAAAGAAAAGCAGCAGGUUAAUACCCCGCUGUUCUGACGGUACCCAAAGAAUAAGCACCGGCUAACUUCGUG